RNAcentral lists this ribosomal RNA (253 nucleotides) under uncultured microorganism. Its description in RNAcentral is "partial 16S ribosomal RNA". It matches the Rfam family "Bacterial small subunit ribosomal RNA", at positions 524 to 776 of the family's 1533-position model. The record is from RNAcentral.
UACGUAGGGUGCGAGCGUUAAUCGGAUUUACUGGGCGUAAAGCGUGCGCAGGCGGCCCGUUAAGACAGGUGUGAAAUCCCCGGGCUCAACCUAGGAAUUGCGCUUGUGACUGGCGGGCUCGAGUGCGGUAGAGGGGGGUGGAAUUCCUGGUGUAGCAGUGAAAUGCGUAGAGAUCAGGAGGAACACCGAUGGCGAAGGCAGCCCCCUGGGCCUGUACUGACGCUCAUGCACGAAAGCGUGGGGAGCAAACAGG